Molecule: ribosomal RNA, 253 nt
Filed under: uncultured Sphingomonas sp.
Lineage: Bacteria; Pseudomonadati; Pseudomonadota; Alphaproteobacteria; Sphingomonadales; Sphingomonadaceae
Description: partial 16S ribosomal RNA
Rfam family: Bacterial small subunit ribosomal RNA
Source: RNAcentral
UACGGAGGGGGCUAGCGUUGUUCGGAAUUACUGGGCGUAAAGCGCGCGUAGGCGGCUUUGUAAGUUAGAGGUGAAAGCCCAGAGCUCAACUCUGGAACUGCCUUUAAGACUGCAUCGCUAGAAUCGUGGAGAGGUGAGUGGAAUUCCGAGUGUAGAGGUGAAAUUCGUAGAUAUUCGGAAGAACACCAGUGGCGAAGGCGACUCACUGGACACGUAUUGACGCUGAGGUGCGAAAGCGUGGGGAGCAAACAGG